Molecule: ribosomal RNA, 484 nt
Filed under: uncultured bacterium
Lineage: Bacteria
Description: partial 16S ribosomal RNA
Rfam family: Bacterial small subunit ribosomal RNA
Source: RNAcentral
AUUGAACGCUGGCGGCAGGCCUAACACAUGCAAGUCGAGCGGUUGAAGGUAGCUUGCUCCUGGAUUCAACGGCGGACGGGUGAGUAAUUCCUAGGAAUCUGCCUUGUCGUUGGGGAUAACGUACGGAAACGGGCGCUAAUACCGCAUACGUCCUGAGGUAGAAAGUGGGGGAUCUUCGGACCUCACGCUAUUAGCUGAGCCUAGGUCGGGUUAGCUAGUUGGUGGGGUAAAGGCCUACCAAGGCGACGAUCCGUAACUGGUCUGAGAGGAUGAUCAGUCACACUGGAACUGGGACACGGUCCAGACUCCUACGGGAGGCAGCAGUGGGGAAUAUUGGAAAAUGGGCGAAAGCCUGAUCCAGCCAUGCCGCGUGUGUGAAGAAGGUCUUCGGAUUGUAAAGCACUUUAAGUUGGGAGGAAGGGCAGUAAGUUAAUACCUUGCUGUUUUGACGUUACCAACAGAAUAAGCACCGGCUAACUUCGUG